RNAcentral lists this ribosomal RNA (505 nucleotides) under uncultured bacterium. RNAcentral describes it as "partial 16S ribosomal RNA". It matches the Rfam family "Bacterial small subunit ribosomal RNA", at positions 28 to 507 of the family's 1533-position model. The record is from RNAcentral.
GACGAACGCUGGCGGCGUGCCUAAUACAUGCAAGUAGAACGCACAGUUUAUACCGUAGCUUGCUACACCAUAGACUGUGAGUUGCGAACGGGUGAGUAACGCGUAGGUAACCUGCCUGGUAGCGGGGGAUAACUAUUGGAAACGAUAGCUAAUACCGCAUAAUAUUGAUUAUUGCAUGAUAAUUAAUUGAAAGGUGCAAUUGCACCACUACCAGAUGGACCUGCGUUGUAUUAGCUAGUAGGUGAGGUAACGGCUCACCUAGGCGACGAUACAUAACCGACCUGAGAGGGUGAUCGGCCACACUGGGACUGAGACACGGCCCAGACUACUACGGGAGGCAGCAGUAGGGAAUCUUCGGCAAUGGACGAAAGGCUGACCGAGCAACGCCGCGUGAGUGAAGAAGGUUUUCGGAUCGUAAAGCUCUGUUGUAAGAGAAGAACGGGUGUGAGAGUGGAAAGUUCACACUGUGACGGUAUCUUACCAGAAAGGGACGGCUAACUACGUG